CUUGGGUCUCCUUCCAAGCUGUGGAAGCUUUGUUCUCUCACUUUUUGCAAUAAAUCUUGCUGCUGCUCAUGCUUUGGGUUCCUGCUGCCUUUAUGAGCUGUAACACUCACCAGGAAGGUCUGCAGCUUCACUCCUGAAGCCAGCGAGACCACAAGCCCACAGGGGGAGGGGGUGGACGGGAGGAACGAAAAACUCCAGACGUGCCACCUUAAUGAAAUAUAACACUCACCGCGAAGGUCUGCGGCUUUACCCCUGAGGCCAGCAAGACCAGGACCCCACCGGAAGGAACAAACAACUCCUGAGGCGCUGCCUUCUAAGAGCUGUAACACUCACUGCCACACUCACUGCGAAGGUCUGCAGCUUCACGCCUGAAGUCAGCGAGACCACGAACCCCGCAGAAGGAAGAAACUCCAGACACAUCUUAACAUAUGAAGGAACAACCUCCAGACACACCAUCUUUAAGAACUGUAACACUCACCGCGACGGUCCACAGCGUCGUUCUGGAAAUCCCCUACCACUAUGCUGUUCACAGAAGUCUAAGCUGAAUAAAG
RNAcentral lists this long non-coding RNA (551 nucleotides) under Homo sapiens (human). RNAcentral describes it as "HSALNT0107981". Lineage: Eukaryota; Metazoa; Chordata; Mammalia; Primates; Hominidae. The record is from RNAcentral.